This 244-nucleotide long non-coding RNA is filed under the name Dromaius novaehollandiae (emu). RNAcentral's name for it is "lncRNA (ENSDNVG00000009029.1)". Lineage: Eukaryota; Metazoa; Chordata; Aves; Casuariiformes; Dromaiidae. The record is from RNAcentral.
UGAGCCAUAAUGAGAGCUUGGGAACAGCAUUACCUAAAUCAAAUUUGCUGACACAUCAGCGUAAGGUCAAAUUCUGAAUGAAGCUGUGUAAAGCUGCAUUCACAUGUGCUUAAGAAUGGAGGAGAGGAACACCCGUUCCUGUGGAGUCACUCUAUGGAAGGAGACUGAAGCUCUUGGAAGGCACUUGGACAGACUUCUACAUGCCAGAAGUUAAUAUUGCUGUUCACAAAGAAGAAAAUCUUCC